Molecule: ribosomal RNA, 239 nt
Filed under: uncultured bacterium
Lineage: Bacteria
Description: partial 16S ribosomal RNA
Rfam family: Bacterial small subunit ribosomal RNA
Source: RNAcentral
CACGCCGUAAACGAUGAUGACUAGGUGUUGGGGAAACUCAGUGCCGCAGUUAACACAUUAAGUCAUCCGCCUGGGGAGUACGACCGCAAGGUUGAAACUCAAAGGAAUUGACGGGGACCCGCACAAGCAGCGGAGCAUGUGGUUUAAUUCGAAGCAACGCGAAGAACCUUACCAGGCCUUGACAUCCUCUGACAAUCCUAGAGAUAGGACGUUUCCUUCGGGAACAGAGAGACAGGUGG